CCCGCUCUUUUCCUCGCGACUUCUUUAUAUGCCCUUUUCUUUGUCGCUCCGACCCCUCUACCAGUGAGGCGGAGCUCGAACUACCUCCUUCACCAUAAAUGUGCUACUGCUUCGGCCUUGCUGAAAUCAAUGCUCUCUGUUGAUCAUUGCCGAUGUGGUUGGCUUUCAGAAGGGUUUGCCACACCACUAUAACAUGGCCAGUGGAGCCUGAUGAGAUGGCAGCGGAUGCGUUCCGUGUCUUUCUCCUGGAAUCUACAUGUGCAUUGAAACAAUCCAUUGAGAUGGGAGACCGAAAGAAGGAGUUCUCUGCAAGAAGAUUUCACCACCAAUCUUUACUAUUUGACUCUAUUAAAAAAGAAACUGCUGAUAACAAGCAAGUUGUUGACAGUAUGCAUCGGCUUGUGAGCGAACAAGAGCAAUCAGGCAUGUGGCUUUCUGUCUCGAAGGUGGAUACACUCAGCUACUGUAUUGAAAAGGAAGGCGGAUGAUGUUUUGUUAUUUGAAAAAGACUUUAAAGAGAAGAUAAGAAUUUGUAGAGAAUAAAAUCAAGAACAACCAAGAUGAGCUCAAGAGAAAGGAUCAAACCACAUUGGAGAUGAAAAAAAGAUAGAGGAAUUGACAACAAUAGAUGGUCUUCAACCAUAAGUAGAAGCUAUAUCCAUCUCAUACUUGUCUUUAUGUGAAGUAUCUGUCAAAAGUGAUUUGAGUAUCAGUCUACAGUCAGAUGUUUUAUCUUGACCAAGAUUACCUUCAGAAGGACACAUCUGUAUAGGAAGAAACUAUCCAAAGUUUGGUUACUGAGAAACAGGCCUUGCUUUUGGAGAUACAGAACUUGGGAUUGGUCUUGAAAAAAGAUUCAGGAGAGUGGUUGGGGCAAAAUUUACGGUGGUCACUUGUCAGGUUAGACGAAAAGAUUCAAGAGGAUGAUGCAAGUUUGGUAUACAAGCAUCUUGAACAAGAUAUGCGUCUUGAGUACUGCAUGGAACAAAAUCCUGGACAUGGCCAACAUAUCUCCACUGCUGCGGUCACCUCUAAGGAAAGCAACAACCUCUAUGGUUUUCACAAAUGCAAUACACUGUGAUUGUUAACCCACAUGAACAUGCCAUAUAUUUGGGAUUACCAUUACAUUGAUUGUUUCCAUACAAUCCGGUUGGUUGAUUCUUUCACCCAAGUGAUGUCCUCAAAUCCUUUAUUACAAACUGAUGGAACCAAUGUCUCAGUUGAUGGAAAGGUGGUACGAGCAAUCAAGCUUUGAGUUGGUGUCCAUAAUUACUUACAUUUUUCUGGUUUGGUAGUGUAUUAAUGCUUAUACCCUUGCUCCUAUUGACGGGUAUUAUUCAUGCAAUAAUUUUAUGAUUUUACAGGGCGACUGUGUUUCUUUUGUGCAAGAGCUUGACACAGAGAGUUCAAUUACACAAACAGAAACGUGAAGUAGAGAGAUUAGUUAUUUGUCAAGUUGGGAUGUGCAAUUUCUAUCAACUGCAAAUCGAUGCUCGGAGUUAAAGUGGACUUUCUUUCAAAGGGUUGUGUUCCAGUCUAUUAUGUAUACUUUGUAUAUAAUUCCCGUUAGAAUUGCAACAAGUUCAAUGAGAAACAGCAAAACACGUCAUGCCAUCCAGGAAUAGUUGUGCCUCGGGCUACAUGUAACCUACAUCGUCUUUGCUCAAGAAUUGUUGAUCUCUACUGAUUUCAAUGCGGUCAUCCACGGUUCCGGUCUGUACUCUCUCUAUACGUUAUACGAGUCGUUCAUGGUGAUAUGUAAUUUUUUUUUUUCUUCUAUUCACAACUUUGACUUGUAGCAUUGCUAUAAGCGAUUCUGGACAGGUGCAUCCCCAUGAGUGACUCGGAACUUUGAUAUUGUUAUGGGCGAUGCUAUGUAAUGCAACUUCGUUAGCAA
Non-coding RNA from Amborella trichopoda, 1897 nucleotides. The record is from RefSeq and is a predicted model, not a curated record. NCBI's taxonomy places the organism in Eukaryota, Viridiplantae, Streptophyta, Magnoliopsida, Amborellales, Amborellaceae.